UGAGGAAUAUUCCGCAAUGAGCGAAAGCUUGACGGAGCCAUACCAUGUGACCGAAGAAGGCUAAGUCGUAAAGGUCUUUUCUUAGAAAUGAAAAAAAUGACAGUAACUAAGGAAUAAGUAUCGGCUAACUCUGUGCCAGCAGCCGCGGUAAUACAGAGGAUACGAGCGUUAUCCGGAUUUACUGGGCGUAAAGAGUCUGUAGGUUGUUUUAAAAGUCAUAUGUUAAAGAUUAAGGCUUAACCUUAAAAAAAUAUAUGAAACUUUAAAACUAGAGAGCAAUAGAGGUAGAGGGAAUUUCUGGUGAAGCGGUGAAAUGCUUAGAUAUCAGAAAGACCAUCAAAGGCGAAGGCACUCUGCUGGGUUGUUUCUGACACUGAGAGACGAAAGCUAGGGUAGCAAAUA
RNAcentral lists this ribosomal RNA (402 nucleotides) under uncultured prokaryote. RNAcentral describes it as "bacterial SSU rRNA". It matches the Rfam family "Bacterial small subunit ribosomal RNA", at positions 355 to 774 of the family's 1533-position model. The record is from RNAcentral.